Molecule: unclassified non-coding RNA, 601 nt
Filed under: Penicillium buchwaldii
Lineage: Eukaryota; Fungi; Ascomycota; Eurotiomycetes; Eurotiales; Aspergillaceae
Description: sequence contains 18S rRNA gene, ITS1, 5.8S rRNA gene, ITS2, 28S rRNA gene
Rfam family: 5.8S ribosomal RNA (bases 221-374)
Source: RNAcentral
AGUCGUAACAAGGUUUCCGUAGGUGAACCUGCGGAAGGAUCAUUACCGAGUGAGGGCCCUCUGGGUCCAACCUCCCACCCGUGUUUAUCGUACCUUGUUGCUUCGGCGGGCCCGCCUUUAUGGCCGCCGGGGGGCAUCUGCCCCCGGGCCCGCGCCCGCCGAAGACACCCACGAACUCUGUCUGAAGAUUGUAGUCUGAGUGGAAUUAUAAAUUAUUUAAAACUUUCAACAACGGAUCUCUUGGUUCCGGCAUCGAUGAAGAACGCAGCGAAAUGCGAUACGUAAUGUGAAUUGCAGAAUUCAGUGAAUCAUCGAGUCUUUGAACGCACAUUGCGCCCUCUGGUAUUCCGGAGGGCAUGCCUGUCCGAGCGUCAUUGCUGCCCUCAAGCACGGCUUGUGUGUUGGGCCCCGUCCUCCGCUCCCGGGGGACGGGCCCGAAAGGCAGCGGCGGCACCGCGUCCGGUCCUCGAGCGUAUGGGGCUUUGUCACCCGCUCUGUAGGCCCGGCCGGCGCUUGCCGAAUCAACCAAACUUUUUUCCAGGUUGACCUCGGAUCAGGUAGGGAUACCCGCUGAACUUAAGCAUAUCAAUAAGCGGAGGAA